CACGCUGUAAACGAUGAAUACUAGGUGUGGGGGGACUGACCCCCUCCGUGCCGGAGUUAACACAAUAAGUAUUCCACCUGGGGAGUACGGCCGCAAGGUUGAAACUCAAAGGAAUUGACGGGGGCCCGCACAAGCAGUGGAUUAUGUGGUUUAAUUCGAAGCAACGCGAAGAACCUUACCUGGACUUGACAUCCCCUGAAUGACUCGUAAUGGAGGAAGCCCUACGGGGCAGGGAGACAGGUGG
Molecule: ribosomal RNA, 244 nt
Filed under: uncultured bacterium
Lineage: Bacteria
Description: partial 16S ribosomal RNA
Rfam family: Bacterial small subunit ribosomal RNA
Source: RNAcentral